RNAcentral lists this ribosomal RNA (253 nucleotides) under uncultured bacterium. RNAcentral's name for it is "partial 16S ribosomal RNA". It matches the Rfam family "Bacterial small subunit ribosomal RNA", at positions 524 to 776 of the family's 1533-position model. The record is from RNAcentral.
GACGGAGGGUGCUAGCGUUGUUCGGAAUGACUGGGCGUAAAGGGCGCGUAGGCGGCUCGUGAAGUCGGGUGUGAAAGCCCGGGGCUCAACCCCGGAACGGCAUCCGAUACUGGCGGGCUUGAGACCGGGAGAGGAGGGUGGAAUACCCAGUGUAGAGGUGAAAUGCGUAGAUAUCCGGAGGAACACCAGUGGCGAAGGCGACUUUCUGGCCUGUUCUUGACGCUGAGGCGCGAAAGCUAGGGGAGCAAACGGG